RNAcentral lists this long non-coding RNA (845 nucleotides) under Pan troglodytes (chimpanzee). RNAcentral describes it as "long non-coding RNA NONPTRT005931". The record is from RNAcentral. Lineage: Eukaryota; Metazoa; Chordata; Mammalia; Primates; Hominidae.
GUCAAACUAAUCCUUUCCUUUAAUACAAACUUGAACACUGUGAAUGCCUCAUUUAUAGUGGGUAGGGAAAGAGUUUAUAAAAGUCCAAGUAAUAAAAUGUAUUCAAUUACUUGGGAAAGUUAAAAAGCUAAUGCAACAAUGUUACAUCCAGAUAAAAAACAUUAUUCAAAAGCAAUUCAAAUACCGAAAAGGAUUUCAAAUUGAAUAUUUUAUUAACAUGGUAGUUGCCUUUGUAACAUGUGCACACACACUCGCACACUCAGAAUGAUCUGCCUGGGGGAAAAAUACUAAAUAUGCCUAAGGGGAAAAUGAAAAAUAAAAAAAUUCCUGUAGGUUUUCAUUAUUGUAGGCAAUUAUGUCCACAUCACUUACAAAGCUAUUGCCAAAUCUGUCCAAGGAAGCAGAGUUUGAAGUGAGGGCUAGGGACAGGAAUCUUGGGAAAAAUUCAACAGUGGCAUAGCAGAGCUCUCAAUAUGAGAAAGCUGACAUAAUGUGGACUUUUGCUGUGAAUUUCCUCUUUGCAAAAUAUGGGGAGAGGUUUAUCAAUGGGCAGAAAAUAAGAGAAGGCGGUGUGAAGUAGGCUUCUGCAGUCAAUUUUCCUCACAGUAUUGUGCAGGGUCAUCAAGAAAAUGCUUAGUCUUUCUCUGGAACCAGUUUCAGAACUUUUCCAAUUGCAAUGCUCUUACCCUCAUCUCUUAAGGUGAAACGACCCAUCUGAGGGAAGUCUUUAAAGGUCUCAAGGCAGAUGGUUCCUGCUGUCCUUAAGCGAGCAAUGCAUACUUGAUCUUGUUUCACAAAACGGGGUCGGGUCUUACUUUUUUCUCCUGAUUUUUUGUCUACCAAGC